GAUGAACGCUGGCGGCGUGCUUAACACAUGCAAGUAGAACGGAGAAUUGAAGCUUGCUUUAAUUCUUAGUGGCGGACGGGUGAGUAACGCGUGGGUAACCUGCCCUUAAGUGGGGGACAACAGUUGGAAACGACUGCUAAUACCGCAUAAAGUUGAGAGUUAGCAUGAGCUUUUAACCAAAGGAGUAAUCCGCUUUUGGAUGGACACGCGUCUGAUUAGCUAGUUGGUGGGGUAACGGCCUACCAAGGCUACGCUCAGUAGCCGGCCUGAGAGGGUUAACGGCCACACUGGGACUGAGACACGGCCAAGACUCCUACGGGAGGCAGCAGUGGGGAAUCUUCCGCAAUGGACGAAAGUCUGACGGAGCAACGCCGCGUGAGGGAUGAAGGCCUUCGGGUUGUAAACCUCUGUCUUCAGGGAAGAAAAAAAUGACGGUACCUGAGGAGGAAGCCCCGGCUAACUACGUGCCAGCCGCCGCCGUAA
Molecule: ribosomal RNA, 483 nt
Filed under: uncultured bacterium
Lineage: Bacteria
Description: partial 16S ribosomal RNA
Rfam family: Bacterial small subunit ribosomal RNA
Source: RNAcentral